UCCCCCCCUUAAGAACAUUCGUCCUCGAAGGUUCCUAAAACACACAAUUAACACAUGAAACGGAGAAAACUAACCUCAAAACAAAUAUGGAUACUGCUGGAGCAUAGACUCCCGCGUCUCCCAGGUGCACUCUUCUAGAUUAUGGUGGUUCCAUAGAACUUUCACCAUCGGAAUCUCCUUGUUCCUUAGCUGUCUGAUCUGCGUGUCCAGAAUCCGCACUGG
Molecule: long non-coding RNA, 222 nt
Filed under: Manihot esculenta (cassava)
Lineage: Eukaryota; Viridiplantae; Streptophyta; Magnoliopsida; Malpighiales; Euphorbiaceae
Description: long non-coding RNA (MESC_LNC011547)
Source: RNAcentral